Alligator mississippiensis (American alligator) is the source of this 3866-nucleotide long non-coding RNA. RefSeq lists it as uncharacterized. The transcript is spliced from 3 exons. The record is from RefSeq and is a predicted model, not a curated record. Lineage: Eukaryota; Metazoa; Chordata; Crocodylia; Alligatoridae.
CCGGGCCGGGCCGGGGCGGGCGGGCCCGGGAAGGGCGCGGGCAGCGCCGAGCUCCCGGCAGGGCGAGCCCCGCAGCGGGGCAGGGCCGGCGGCGGGGGAGGCCGGGGGCAAAGGCCGGGGCCGGCGGCACGACAGCCUCGGACCUGCCCCUGCCCGGCCGGGACAGGGACCUUGCACCCGGAGCGGCAGGAGCGGGCGGGGCGGGGCGGGGCUGUGUGGACAGGGGUGCCCGGGGCUGGGCAGGGCAAUGCCCGUGUGCGCGGGGGUCGCCCUCAGUCCGUGUUGUUCCCCGGCAAGUGCAGCAUGGUCCGGAGCUGGUGCAGACGCCGCCCCGACAGAGCUGGUCGGGACCGCGGGGGAGACGCUCACGUUUCCUCUCGAGAUCCCGGCAGGGGAGACAUUAGAUACUGCUGUCUGGACGAUUGGCACAGAGAGUUUAGCAACGGUGCUACCAGGAGACCCCGCGAGUGUCCUUGUCACAGACAGACGCUAUAGGGGCCGCCUGCGUGUCCCCAACGCCGGCCUCGCACUGCACAUCACCGACCUGAGGCCGGAGGACGCGGGGUCCUACACAGCUAGAGCCAACACGGAUAAAAUCAUAUUUACCAGCCAUUUCACACUGCAUGGCUAUGAGCGGGUGCCUCAGCCCACGAUUCACUGCAGUGCCCACAACUGUAGAAAUGGAGCCUGUAACAUCGCCCUGAGCUGCACCAUCCCCAGUGGAGACAACAACAUGAUCUACAGCUGCAGCACCCCGGAGCACCCCAGUAUAACCGCUUAAGGAUCCAUCAUGAAAAUCUCUCACCCAGAUCUUCUGAUAAACGUCACCUGCACAGUGCAAAACUCCACCAGCAACAGCUCUACAACAGCCUCUCAAGGCCCUUUGUGCAGAUAACAUGCCCUGUGGGGAAGCUCUGCACAGCCCACACGUGGGGAGAACAGGUAUCGGGGUGCCAGGUUUGUCCCUACGAGGCACCCGACUCUAGAUGCUGCCCCUUCCCCUCUCCAAAUCCCUGCCCUGUAGAUUCCACCCCCCUCCCCAAGUCCAUUUCCUGUGACCCUGCUACCCAGGGAGCCACAUGCACCAUCUCUGUGCAGGAGGGCCGAGCCCCCAAGCUCCCUGCAGGGCUCCUCCUCCCCAUGGAAGGACCCCAGGGUCUGUCCCCAUCCCCACUGCCCCUCAAGGCAAACACCGUGGAGCAUCACCAGCCACUUCCCCCUGGCUCUUACCCACUGCCUUGCUCUAUUUCCAGCCUCAUCACUGCUCACUCUGGAAGGGAAGGACUGGGCAAGGCUGCAGCACGGAGGAGAAACAGCUGGUGGGUCUGCAGGGGUCUAAGUCCCAGUGCCGAAGGCCAGUCCCUGAUGCAGCGCCCUGGCACUGCAGGCCCAUGGGCACCCUGGAGCAGAGGGUCCCCCCUACAGGUGUAUCCUCCCCUUUCUAGCAUGGCCAGCAGACCCCAGCCCACAGUGUGCAGGGCAGGGACCAGCCAGGCAGAGGGACCCACAGAGACAGGAAGUACAAAACCCCCUUGUUCCAAGGGGAACUUCAGCUUCUAAAUAAACCUUCCCUCCUCUGCACCAUCUGUGUCUCUGAGCCCUGCCAGGGGCAAUCUUCCCUCACAUCCCCUCAAGAGCCCCAUCAGGCUAUAUCACAGUCCUGAGGGCAUGCUCCACCAUCACAAUUGCCCAUGCCAAGGACCUCCACUGCCAGGCCAUUGCCCAAGGACCCUGCCAUUGACCUGUUGCAGCAAGUGCAGCCCAGUCAUGGCAGAGGGGAGUUCCCAGCCCACUUUGCCACCUGCCCCAGCACUUCUGCCCCUGCUUGGAUGCCAGCCCUGGGAUGCCUACCCUGGACCCUGCUCCUUCUCCGCCAUUCAAGCCUCCACACUGCCCUGCUGCUCUUGCUCACCCUGCUGCCCCUGCAGACACCAUCCUGGCACCCAAGGGGAGGCUUUAUAUGGGCAUGGACCAAGGAACAGGGACCUUGCAGGGUGCUGCUCCCCAUCCCUGGACACUUGUGUCACCAGGGACACUGCUGUCCCUAAGCUGGGGCCAGCUCCAAGUAAGGAGCACUGAUGCCAUAGGCGAUGCAUAGGGAGGGUAUGUGGGGGCAUGUGCACCCCCUAAGAUUGACCACUGCUGACACUGCCACUCCCCCCCGCCCCUUCUAACCACCAACACUGUCGCGGCCACCUGCGGGUGUUCCCCACUUGGCCCACUCUCGCUGCCGUUGUCACCGCAGCCACCUCUGGGCGGUCCCCACUUGCCGCUACCACACUUGUUCCCAGGAGGAGGAAGGCUCCAGCCUCAUGCUCCUCCUGCUUCUGCCUGGCACUUGGAUGAUGACCCUGGGAGCCAAGGGUCCUGCAGCAGUCAUGUCUCCUGGAGACCAAGAGUGCAUCAGCACUGUGUGAGGCCUGUCUCCACCUGAGCUUCCCCUCACUUACCACACCUCCACUCCAUCUCUCUGCUGUUAUCUCCUGCUAAAGAGGUGAGAAAAUUGGUAUGAAGUUUUCUCCCCUUCAGCUUCACACAUCUCUGGGUGCUGCUGUGAGCACUCUGCACCCUGUAUGGCCAGUACCCAACUGCAAAAGAGAAGGAACAUGAGGCAGGAAGCACGCAGCCGCUGCGCUGGCAGUCUACAGUGCAGGAGAUGCUUCUCAGCCAUGACUCUGCAAGUUCCCACCGUACCAGGGCAGGGGCAGGGCCCCCACCCUGAGAAGCAGCUGAUUUCAGACCCAUUCUGCCUUGCUACCACAUCCCUUGGGUUCACUCAGAUUUGCUUCAGUACUGGAUGCCUUCACUGUUCCUGGCAAGGGCAUCUGCAUGGGUCAGUCACGGGGGCAAUUCUUCAUUCUAGUAAUGUUCUCCCUGUUGGAUACACCCGGGGAAGUCAGCCUGGUUCCUCCUAACGCAUGUCUCCAUCUGGCUCCUUCCAGCCUCGCUCCCUGCUGCCUGCUCGCCCUUCAGAUGCCUGCUGUGAUGGAGGAAGCUCUCUGUCCCGUUCUGCUGUGUCUCCUCCUGAGUUUCCAAAAUCAGGAGCAGGGGGCUGGACCCGAUGAUCCCAGGAGGUCCCUUCCAGCCCUAAACUUGGGUGAAUCUCAGAAGGUUAAAACCCAGAUACAUGCCACUGAGCUGGGUGACUAUGGGUCCUGGGCUGGGUGACUUAUUUAAAUCAGGCUGUGAAGAAAUGGCUCUCUUUGUCUGCUUUCCUGCACUGAGUAUGCCUAGCCCCCUCUGCCCCGAAAUCUGGGUGCUGUUUCCACCUGGUCACUUGGACAGCCGUGUGACCUGGGCUGGAGAAAUUCCUGAGGGAGUGGGAGAGCUUGUUCUUCUGUUGUCCUGUGUAACCCUGAACCCUCUCCUGAGGGUGCUGAUGUUUUUCAAACUGGCCAGCUGGCAUUAGCCGUGGUCAGAGCAUACUGGGUUAUGGCUGGAACUUAAUGAUGAGGUAAUAAAAGCUCUAAAAGAGAGUCACUCCAUUUUGAGAGACACACAUCUGGUCCCUGAAUCAAGCUAUGGGCCUCCAGACUCUUCUGGAUGUAGAUGUGAGUAACGUAUCUGAAAUCUAGCUAGGAAUUUAGAGUUAAGUGUUUAUUUGCGUAUCAAAAGGCAACAAGCCUAUACUGUUUUGCUCAAGGUUGGUUUUCUUUCUAUAUUCCGCUGUUUUGUAUUCUUUCCUCACCCUAUCCCUCUUUGAUCAAUAAAUCUAUCUGUUUCAGCAUGCCAUUCUUUGUGUGCUUAAGAGGGAAGGGACCAGCCUAGUUAGCUCACUUUACUAGGCUGGCUAAGGUGGGCUCGGCUUCUUACUUUCUUCCUGUACUGCAGGCUGCUUGUGAAUUCUUUAGGCUAAUAGAAGCACC